CACUGGACUGAGACACGGUCCAGACUCCUACGGGAGGCAGCAGUGGGGAAUAUUGCACAAUGGGCGCAAGCCUGAUGCAGCCAUGCCGCGUGUGUGAAGAAGGCCUUCGGGUUGUAAAGCACUUUCAGUCGUGAGGAAGGUAGUGUAGUUAAUAGCUGCAUUAUUUGACGUUAGCGACAGAAGAAGCACCGGCUAACUCCGUGCCAGCAGCCGCGGUAAUACGGAGGGUGCGAGCGUUAAUCGGAAUUACUGGGCGUAAAGCGCAUGCAGGUGGUUUGUUAAGUCAGAUGUGAAAGCCCGGGGCUCAACCUCGGAAUAGCAUUUGAAACUGGCAGACUAGAGUACUGUAGAGGGGGGUAGAAUUUCAGGUGUAGCGGUGAAAUGCGUAGAGAUCUGAAGGAAUACCGGUGGCGAAGGCGGCCCCCUGGACAGAUACUGACACUCAGAUGCGAAAGCGUGGGGAGCAAACAGGAUUAGAUACCCUGGUAGUCCACGCCGUAAACGAUGUCUACUUGGAGGUUGUGGCCUUGAGCCGUGGCUUUCGGAGCUAACGCGUUAAGUAGACCGCCUGGGGAGUACGGUCGCAAGAUUAAAACUCAAAUGAAUUGACGGGGGCCCGCACAAGCGGUGGAGCAUGUGGUUUAAUUCGAUGCAACG
This 657-nucleotide ribosomal RNA is filed under the name Vibrio sp. a221. RNAcentral's name for it is "bacterial SSU rRNA". It matches the Rfam family "Bacterial small subunit ribosomal RNA", at positions 311 to 961 of the family's 1533-position model. Lineage: Bacteria; Pseudomonadati; Pseudomonadota; Gammaproteobacteria; Vibrionales; Vibrionaceae. The record is from RNAcentral.